CAGAGGGUUACUAGCUAAGAACAAUUAAGCUGUUACCUCCUAAGUUGCCUAUUAUAAAUUCACAUCUGGAGGGAAAUUAUACUCUAAAAGCUAAGCCUGCAAAGGGGUCUUUGGAAACACUGGGCGGUGCUCUGCCUAAUCUCAAGCAUCCCAGGGCCAAAGCCAAAAAGAAACCUCGGCCUUGUAAUUCUUUCCAUGGCCAUGCUCAUCAGCCAGUCACCUCGCUCCAGCAGCACAACGCACCCGCCUGCCUCAGCACCCGCUGGAAUUCGCAGCAGCCAGCACACGGAGUAGGGGACGUUUGCCUGGCCAGAGGGAAGUCUUGAGGACGUGGUGGAUCUUGGAUGUCAGUACUUUCUAGGGCACAGAUGCCUUACAUGAGCUGCCAGGCUCCUCUCCUGGACUGAGGUCCUCAAGAAUCCCAAAGCCUUGCAAUAUGCUGGGAGGAGAAAGGAGUCCUUGGAGUCAGGUUUUGCUCAGGAGCUUCUUACUUCUAUUGUUGCUACUGGGAAAAAUGACCAAAAAAACUGUGACUAGUUAUUUGUUGCCCACCAUGAACUUCCAGAUAAAGGCAACUCUAGGUAUUGAAGUUGCAGACCCCAGGCUGCCGAGAGAUACAAUGAUGAACGGCCUCCUUACAGCGAAGGGCUUCCGGAGUCUACCAGGACAGGCUGUAACCUAUACAUUAUAAACUCAUAAGAAACAAUGAAAGACAGAGAUGCCAAAAUGUGUAACUGAAUAGCAACAAUUUAAACCCAUAUGCCAGGCUGUAUAUCGUAGAUUUUUGCUUCCAGAAGUACUAGCCUGACCAAAACAGUGUCCCAUUUUUUCACUUGUAUAAAC
This 843-nucleotide long non-coding RNA is filed under the name Anas platyrhynchos platyrhynchos (common mallard). Its description in RNAcentral is "lncRNA (ENSAPLG00000028726.1)". Lineage: Eukaryota; Metazoa; Chordata; Aves; Anseriformes; Anatidae. The record is from RNAcentral.